UUCUAACGAUUUGUGUUUUUUUCCAGGUACAGGCGCUUGCAGAGGACGAGAUGGGCAGAUGAUUGCCGAGACGCUGCACUAGGACUCGCAGGCGGUGCUGCUGCUGACUGACGUGGAUUAACAGGUAAUGCUGUUGCAGAUGGACUUGCUGGACGAUACGGUGGAUUUGACGAUGGACAAGAUGCUGCAAAUGGCUGCUGACUGUCAGAUGGAUUGGACGAACAGGAAACUGGGCGAGACGAUGGACAUGAUGCACGACGAGAUGCUGGACAAAAUGCUGCU
Drosophila willistoni is the source of this 282-nucleotide long non-coding RNA. RefSeq lists it as uncharacterized. The record is from RefSeq and is a predicted model, not a curated record. The transcript has 3 exons. Lineage: Eukaryota; Metazoa; Arthropoda; Insecta; Diptera; Drosophilidae.